ACUCCAAAUGAUACCUUUACUAAGCAAAACAAAAUCAGAAUUUAAAAAACUUAAUGUGAAUAAUAGGCAACUCAAUUGAACGAAUUCAUCUGAGAGACACGUAAAUCAUGACUCAACCAAAUUGCAACUCUCUUAAUCAGUAUAACCCCUAAAUCAAAAUUCACAUGAAAUUCGCACCUAUAACAUCCAAUUGAAUUGCAUGUAAUCAUUUCUCAUAAAUAAAGAAUCUAAACUGAUUAAAAGAAGAAAGAGACCCAAAAUCCUUACCACCCUUGGCCGAUGAUAAUUGCCUUCCAUCAAGAAACAAACGCAAAAUUCAAGAGCAGAGUUAUCAGCCAGAUAGAGUAAACAAGAAAUCAGAGAUCAAACACGACUCAGCGCCAGUUUCCUCGAAUUCCACAAACAAUUCACGAAGAAAGAAAAAAAGAACAAACAGCCAAAUUGAUAAGAUACAAAACAAAUCCCUAAAUUUCAACGAAACCCAAAAGAGGACAAACAAUUUUAAAGAAAACUCAAUUGAGAAAACUUCAAAACAACGGAAGAGAACGGGAGCAGAAAUAAUGGCAGAAAAGGAAUAGACAGAUAAGAAAAAACGAGAUCAAAAGCCGAAAAUAAGGGCAAUAAAAAAGAUAGAUUACCUGUUUCUUUCUCUCUUUCCCUCUCUCUCUCUCGCUGGCCAAUAUAAUCUGUCAGGGUUUGGGGUUUGUUUGUUCGUUGUCAAUUGGGUUAGAGAGAGGGAGGAAGAAGAGAAAGAAAGACAGCUUGGAUUUUGAUUUUGAAGGGGUUGGCUUUGCUUUUAAGAACAAGUAAUGGGAAAAGACAGUAAGGCAACGCGGGCAGGAUCAAGAAAAAUAGCAAAUGAAUCAAUUUUUUUUGGAGGGUUUACUUUCUCUCUCUACAAGAUUAUGAUGCCUUAUUUACUUUCUCUCUCUCUAUAUAUAUGUACACAUAUAUAUAUACUGAAAUGUAUAAACGCAUCUAAAUAUAGAUAGAAUGUUUCAAAAAGGAGAUGACGGGCGGUUGACAAGGCAAAUGGAGAGAGAGAGAGAGAGAGAGACAGAUGGCCAACUCGGGAACUCCAACUCAGCUCUGCGCACCGUUUUUGGUAUACAAUUUUUUAUACAAUUUUUUAUUAUUAAUAAUAAAACAAAUUAUUAUAUUAAU
RNAcentral lists this long non-coding RNA (1164 nucleotides) under Carica papaya (papaya). RNAcentral's name for it is "long non-coding RNA (CPAP_LNC014973)". The record is from RNAcentral. Lineage: Eukaryota; Viridiplantae; Streptophyta; Magnoliopsida; Brassicales; Caricaceae.